Leptonychotes weddellii (Weddell seal) is the source of this 2074-nucleotide long non-coding RNA. RefSeq lists it as uncharacterized. The record is from RefSeq and is a predicted model, not a curated record. NCBI's taxonomy places the organism in Eukaryota, Metazoa, Chordata, Mammalia, Carnivora, Phocidae.
CGGGAACCCGGCCCUGCGGGAGCGCGCGGCCUUCCCAAGGCGGCGGCGCGAGGCGGCCUGAGAGCGCGCCCGCGUGCACGUCCGCUCCCCCUCCCCCACUCCGCAGGGGACGACCCCAAAUCCUGCGAAGGCCUCAGGGCUCCUUAAACUUGUGGGGCUGGCGCGACCCUUAGAAUCCCGACCUCGAGUCCCGGGGCCACCGCCGUCCCUGCUUGUGGGGCGGGACGCAGAAACACUCCGGACGCCGGACCCCGGACCAGAGACCCCCACGGCCCGACUCAUGGAGGCGCCCAGUAACUUUGAAGUGAAAGACUGUUGAAGACCCCUGGCUCGCGUGAGUCGAGCUCCGAGGAGACGAACUCCUAAACCAGAGUUGGAGUUGGGAGCGUCCGCUUUGAACAUUUAGUUCCACCCCGAGGAGACGAUGUCCACCCAGCUCAGGUCCUCAUCUCCCUUCCUCUGGAGUCCUCUUCUGUAACCUCUCACCAUUGAGAGGCACCUUGCAAGACGAGAGGACUUAAAAUCUUACAUGUUACUGCCCAGCACAAAGGAGUUCGCAUGUGAUCUUUGCAGAUCAUCCCCUACCAGACUAAAUGUAUAAUGUGCUUAUGGAGCCAGAAGAAUGUUACUGCAGAAACAAGUGAAGAAUUCGGGUGAGCUUACAGAGGAAGGAGAGGUAAGAAGUAAAUACAAGGACAAAGCUCCAGUCCUGAGAUCACAAUAUUGGAGGGAAAUUGAUGACAAAAGGUGAAUGAAAACAUUUAUUCUGCAGAACCAAAAACCAUUCCAGUCUCACAUUUCCAAUACACAUAUCAAAAAACUAGCAUGAGGAAUUAAUUUGACCCGGUUACUGAAAUUCUUUAUGAAGCACUAAACAACACUUAACCCCAAAAGAUAAAACCUGGUUUUUUACAUAAUGUGUCAAUUUUCACAUUCCAGUCACUACAGUCUAACCAGCAGAAAGUUGACUGCAUGGCACAAAAAGAAAAACCAAGGUUCAGUGUGUUCCAGUGUCCUCUGAAAAAAAUGAUCUCAUUGCAAGGAUGACAACAGAAGAGGGAGUGACCAGUAUUUUCAUAGGUCUGUCCUACUCAAGGUCCCCAACCUGCCAGGACCCACCAAUUUAGUUUUAUAAAUCUUUCCCACUCUUUUCUACAUUGUGUAAGGGAAAGGAAUGAGUUGAAAAGGGAUGUCAUGUCCAACCUCCCGCCUAAGACUCACUGCUGAGGCCAGCUUUUUGUCCCCAAGUUCUCCAACCCCCGUGAGGCACUAUUUCACAGCCGUCUUCUUAGCCCCACAAAAUGGCUCCCUUUGUGCCACUUGCCCAGGACCCCAAGGCUGGCCGCACACGACAGCCGGUCUUGAUCAGUGAAGAAUAGAUGCCCAGAAAAAGUGGACCUAAGCUUCCUACAAGCCUUGAGCAGGAUCCCAGAAAUGCCUGUAUCCACCUUAAAAGAACAGUGUGCAAUUAGCCGAGACAAUGUGGACACCUUCCACCGGUUACAAACCCUUCCACCAAGUCAGGCAAGGGCUUGGAAAACGGUUCCAGUCCAAACACCCAGUGCCCUCUUCCCCAAAUGCGGUAGUCAGACUGGCCAGAAAGGCCCCGGCUUCCCAGGUGGAGAUAGUACGGAAGAGACAAUGGAUGUCUCCGGCCCCGCCCAAGAACAGGAACCCUCCUCCAGCUCGGGAACCCGGGCCAGCGAAGAACUCAUUUGGCAAACGUCAAAGGGGGAAGGGGAAGAGGUGGGAAGCAAAGACCAAGGUCCGAAGGUUUGAGCGCAGAAAACCCACUCGGACUGGCUCACCCCCCCUUUCGUGUUCGGGGGUGGGCGCGGGAGGGGAAGGAGCAGGGGUCUUUCCUUUGUUAGCAGAGGGGAAGCACUUCGCAGAGGGCUGACGGCUGCGUCCUGACGGGCGUGGGGGUCGCGAUGACCAGCCCCGACCGACCACAAAUAACACCUGCCGGGCGGGCCCCAGUGGGUAGGAGCCCGCAAGACUCGAUCGCUGCGGCCGCAAGAGAUGACUGCCGCGCCGGGCGCGGGGCCGCCACCUGCCCCGGGCCAGAGGCAGA